This 91-nucleotide small nucleolar RNA is filed under the name Erinaceus europaeus (western European hedgehog). Its description in RNAcentral is "Small nucleolar RNA U3 (ENSEEUG00000022602.1)". The record is from RNAcentral. Lineage: Eukaryota; Metazoa; Chordata; Mammalia; Eulipotyphla; Erinaceidae.
AAGACUAUACUUUCAGGGAUAAUUUCUGUAAUUCAUUACUAAAGAAUAGGGACCUUCCAGUGGAGGGGAUGGGAUAUGGAAGUCUGGUGGU